Molecule: transfer RNA, 74 nt
Filed under: Schizosaccharomyces pombe (fission yeast)
Lineage: Eukaryota; Fungi; Ascomycota; Schizosaccharomycetes; Schizosaccharomycetales; Schizosaccharomycetaceae
Description: tRNA Leucine (uag), mitochondrial
Rfam family: tRNA
About the family: Transfer RNA (tRNA) molecules are approximately 80 nucleotides in length. Their secondary structure includes four short double-helical elements and three loops (D, anti-codon, and T loops).
Source: RNAcentral
GCAGAUGUGAUGAAAUUGGUAAACAUGUUUACCUUAGGAGUAAAAUCUUGAAGGUUCGAAUCCUUCCAUCUGUA